UUGGUAAAAGGAAGGCUCAAACUCCCCUUGGUGGGAUUACAGCCCACCGCCUAAACUCUCGGCCAUUUUACCU
Molecule: transfer RNA, 73 nt
Filed under: Stenocercus humeralis
Lineage: Eukaryota; Metazoa; Chordata; Lepidosauria; Squamata; Tropiduridae
Description: tRNA-Tyr
Source: RNAcentral